RNAcentral lists this ribosomal RNA (254 nucleotides) under uncultured bacterium. RNAcentral's name for it is "partial 16S ribosomal RNA". It matches the Rfam family "Bacterial small subunit ribosomal RNA", at positions 524 to 776 of the family's 1533-position model. The record is from RNAcentral.
UACGGAGGGUGCAAGCGUUAUCCGGAUUUACUGGGUUUAAAGGGAGCGCAGGCGGAUUAGUAAGUCAGUGGUGAAAGCCUUGAGCUUAACUCGAGAACUGCCAUUGAUACUAUUAGUCUUGAAUGUUGUUGAGGUUUGCGGAAUGGGUCAUGUAGCGGUGAAAAUGCAUAGAUAUGACCCGGAACACCUAUUGCGAAGGCAGCAGGCUAAACAAAUAUUGACGCUGAGGCUCGAAAGCGUGGGGAUCAAACAGG